This 61-nucleotide microRNA precursor is filed under the name Gekko japonicus. Its description in RNAcentral is "Gja-Mir-8-P2a_pre stem-loop". It matches the Rfam family "mir-8/mir-141/mir-200 microRNA precursor family", at positions 6 to 67 of the family's 72-position model. Rfam says of the family: The bounds of the precursors are predicted based on conservation and base pairing and are not generally known. Lineage: Eukaryota; Metazoa; Chordata; Lepidosauria; Squamata; Gekkonidae. The record is from RNAcentral.
CAUCUUACUAGACAGUGCUGGAUUUCUCGAAUCUACUCUAACACUGUCUGGUAACGAUGUU